Molecule: ribosomal RNA, 320 nt
Filed under: uncultured Bacteroidales bacterium
Lineage: Bacteria; Pseudomonadati; Bacteroidota; Bacteroidia; Bacteroidales
Description: partial 16S ribosomal RNA
Source: RNAcentral
GGAGUUAGGACCGUGUCUCAGUUCCUAUGUGGGGGACCUUCCUCUCAGAACCCCUACUGAUCGUCGCCUUGGUGGGCCGUUACCCCGCCAACAAGCUAAUCAGACGCAUCCCCAUCCAUGACCGAUGAAUCUUUGAUUGAGCCCCGAUGCCGAGAUUCAACCACAUCCGGUAUUAAUCCUCCUUUCAGAGGGCUAUCCCAGAGUCAUAGGCAGGUUGGAUACGUGUUACUCACCCGUGCGCCGGUCGCCAUCGAUCGAAGCAAGCUUCGAUCAUGCUGCCCCUCGACUUGCAUGUGUUAAGCCUGUAGCUAGCGUUCAUC